Molecule: long non-coding RNA, 282 nt
Filed under: Nicotiana benthamiana
Lineage: Eukaryota; Viridiplantae; Streptophyta; Magnoliopsida; Solanales; Solanaceae
Description: long non-coding RNA (NBEN_LNC013560)
Source: RNAcentral
UCAGAUAAAAAUCUCACCUAUCAACCGGAAAUCGCCAAAAUACUAACUUUGCCAAUUCAAGUCUGAUUCUACACUGGACCUCCAAAAUCACUUCCGAUCACGCACCUAAGUCAAAAAUCAUCCUCCGAAGCUAAACAAAUCACCGGAAAUCACAUCUGAGCUCUCUAACGUAUAAGUCAACAUCUGGUUGUCUUUUUUCAAAACAAGCCUUCCUUAAAUAGACAAAGUGUCUCAUCUCCUAUCAAAACAAAUCCAAUAACACUCCAAAUACCGAUAGCGAAA